RNAcentral lists this non-coding RNA (31 nucleotides) under Mus musculus (house mouse). The record is from RNAcentral. Lineage: Eukaryota; Metazoa; Chordata; Mammalia; Rodentia; Muridae.
UAACCGUUGACUCAGGUGUCCUCAUGGUAGG